GCAAGAUACCACGGGCGCACGGCGGAUGCCUUGGCACAGGGAGCCGAUGAAGGACGCGGCAAGCUGCGAUAAUCCCCGGCGAGGAGCACACAUCCUUCGACCCGGGGGUCUCCGAAUGGGCGAACCCAUGCACAGCGGUGUGCAUAUCCCCGGCCCGAACACAUAGGGCCGGGGAGGACAACCCGGGGAACUGAAACAUCUAAGUACCCGGAGGAGAGGAAAUCAAUCUCGAGACUCCCCGAGUAGCGGCGAGCGAAAGGGGACCGAUGGCCAAACCGUCGAGCGGGCAUACCCGGCAGGGGUUCCGCCGACGGGGUUGCAGGGCCGCGCAUCCGGGGGCUGCCGCCCCCGGGCGCAGGUCCGGCUGGGGAGCGGAACGGCAUGGGAGGGCCGGCCGCAGCGGGUGACAGCCCCGUACGCGAACCCAGACCGGACGGCGCGACGCGGUCCCUGAGUAGGGCCGGGCACGUGAAACCCGGUCCGAACCUGGGUGGACCACCAUCCAAGCCUGAGUACUACCCUGUGACCGAUAGCGCACCAGUACCGUGAGGGAAAGGUGAAAAGCACCCCGGGAGGGGAGUGAAACAGUACCUGAAACCGUGCGCCCACGAGCAGUCGGAGCACCUUUAUGGUGUGACGGCGUGCCUUUUGUAGAAUGAGCCAGCGAGUCGCUGGCGCGGGGCGAGGUUAACCGAAAGGGAGCCGGAGCGAAAGCGAGCCUUAACAGGGCGACUUGAGUCCCGCGCCGCGGACGCGAAGCCGGGUGAGCUAUCCGUGGGCAGGCUGAAGCGGGGGUAAGACCCCGUGGAGGGCCGAACGCACGUCGGUUGAAAACGGCGGCGAUGACCUGCGGAUAGGGGUGAAAGGCCAAUCAAACCCGGAGAUAUCUCGUUCUCCCCGAAAUAGCUUUAGGGCUAGCGUCGGAAAGAACCUUAGUGAAGGUAGAGCACUGAAUGUGUGAUGGCCCCAUCCCGGGGUACUGAAUACAAUCAAACUGCGAAUGUCAUUAAGGAUGUCCGGCAGUCAGACUGUGAGUGAUAAGGUCCAUGGUCAAGAGGGAAACAGCCCAGACCGCCAGCUAAGGUCCCAAAAUUCUGGCUAAGUGGAAAAGGAUGUGGGGAUGCACAGACAACUAGGAGGUUGGCUCAGAAGCAGCCAUCCUUUAAAGAGUGCGUAACAGCUCACUAGUCGAGUGACCCUGCGCCGAAAAUGUACCGGGGCUAAGCCAGGUACCGAAGCUGCGGAUAUUCCUAGAAUAUGGUAGGGGAGCGUUGCAUGUGGGGUGAAGCCGUAUCGUGAGGAGCGGUGGACAGCAUGGAAGUGAGAAUGCCGGUGUGAGUAGCGAGAUGUAGGUGAGAAUCCUACACACCGAAAGCCCAAGGAUUCCAGGGGAAGGUUCGUCCGCCCUGGGUAAGUCGGGACCUAAGGCGAGGCCGAAAGGCGUAGUGGAUGGAAAGCAGGCGAAAGAUUCCUGCACCCGUAUAUGGAGCGAAGGAGUGACGGAGACGGAUAGUGUGACCCUCUUAAUGGAUUGAGGGCGAAGCGAAGCGGCUGGUUACCAGGCAAAUCCGGUAACCAAAAGGCUAGAGCGUGACAGGUAAGCGAAAUCUUCGGAAAGUAGCGAAGCACAUGAUGACGGCUUCCAGGAAAAGCUUCUGGCAAUGCAUAUGCGGCCCGUACCAAAACCGACACAGGUGGGCAGGGAGAGAAUCCCGAGGUGAGCGAGAGAACUGUUGCCAAGGAACUCGGCAAAAUGACUCCGUAAGUUAGCGAGAAGGAGUGCUUAAGCAAUUAAGCCGCAGUGAAGAGGCCCAAGCGACUGUUUAACUAAAACACAGCUCUCUGCGAAGUCGCAAGACGAAGUAUAGGGGGUGACACCUGCCCGGUGCUGGAAGGUUAAGAGGAUCUGUUAAGAGCGAUCUGAAGCAGUGAUCCGAAGCCCCAGUGAACGGCGGCCGUAACUAUAACGGUCCUAAGGUAGCGAAAUUCCUUGUCAGGUAAGUUCUGACCCGCACGAAAGGUGUAACGAUUUGGGCGCUGUCUCGGCAGCAGACUCGGUGAAAUCUUAGUACCUGUGAAAAUGCAGGUUACCCGCAACUAGACGGAAAGACCCCAUGGAGCUUUACUGCAGCCUGAUAUUGAAUUCUGGUCAUACAUGUACAGGAUAGGUGGGAGACAAAGAGACGUGCACGCCAGUGUACGAGGAGUCGCCGUUGGGAUACCACUCUUGUGUGACCGGGGUUCUAACCUGGUAUCGAGAACAGGUACGGGGAGAGUGUCAGGUGGGCAGUUUGACUGGGGCGGUCGCCUCCCAAAGAGUAACGGAGGCGCCCAAAGGUACGCUCAGAUUGGAUGGAAACCAAUCGUCGAGUGCAAUUGCAGAAGCGUGCUUGACUGUGAGACAGACAAGUCGAACAGGGACGAAAGUCGGGAAUAGUGAUCCGGCGGUGCCGAAUGGAAGGGCCGUCGCUCAACGGAUAAAAGCUACCCUGGGGAUAACAGGCUGAUCUCGCCCAAGAGUUCACAUCGACGGCGAGGUUUGGCACCUCGAUGUCGGCUCAUCGCAUCCUGGAGCUGGAUUCGGUUCCAAGGGUUGGGCUGUUCGCCCAUUAAAGCGGUACGCGAGCUGGGUUCAGAACGUCGUGAGACAGUUCGGUCCCUAUCUGUCGUGGGCGCAGGAAAUUUGAGAAGAGCUGUCCUCAGUACGAGAGGACCGGGAUGGACGCAUCAAUGGUGGACCAGUUGUCACGCCAGUGGCAUAGCUGGGUAGCUAAAUGCGGAAGGGAUAAACGCUGAAGGCAUCUAAGUGUGAAACCCACUUCAAGAUGAGAUUUCCCAUUGCGCAAGCAAGUAAGACCCCUUAAAGACGAUAAGGUAGAUAGGCCAGAGAUGGAAGUGUAGAGAUACAUGGAGUUGACUGGUACUAAUCGGUCGAGGACUUAAUCAG
This 2947-nucleotide ribosomal RNA is filed under the name human gut metagenome. Its description in RNAcentral is "bacterial LSU rRNA". It matches the Rfam family "Bacterial large subunit ribosomal RNA". The record is from RNAcentral.